CCUACGGGAGGCAGCAGUGAGGAAUAUUGGUCAUUGGUCGGGAGACUGAACCAGCCAAGCCGCGUGAGGGAUGAAGGUACAGAGUAUCGUAAACCUCUUUUGUCAGGGAACAAAGGCGGGGACGUGUCCCCGGAUGAGUGUACCUGAAGCAAAAGCAUCGGCUAACUCCGUGCCAGCAGCCGCGGUAAUACGGAGGAUGCGAGCGUUAUCCGGGUUUAUUGGGUUUAGAGGGUGCGCAGGCGGUCUGUUAAGUCAGCGGUCAAAGCCCGGGGCUCAACCCGGGCCCGCCGUUGAACCUGGCAGUCUAGAGUUGGAGAGAAGUAUGCGGAAUGCGCGGUGUAGCGGUGAAAUGCAGAGAUAUCGCGCAGAACUCCGAUUGCGAAGGCAGCAUGCCGGCUCCACACUGACGCUGAGGCACGAAAGCGUGGGUAUCGAACAGGAUUAGAUACCCGGGUAGUC
This 459-nucleotide ribosomal RNA is filed under the name uncultured bacterium. RNAcentral's name for it is "partial 16S ribosomal RNA". It matches the Rfam family "Bacterial small subunit ribosomal RNA", at positions 338 to 795 of the family's 1533-position model. The record is from RNAcentral.